AGUGAACGCUGGCGGUAGGCCUAACACAUGCAAGUCGAACGGCAGCACAGUAAGAGCUUGCUCUUACGGGUGGCGAGUGGCGGACGGGUGAGGAAUACAUCGGAAUCUACUUUUUCGUGGGGGAUAACGUAGGGAAACUUACGCUAAUACCGCAUACGACCUACGGGUGAAAGCAGGGGAUCUUCGGACCUUGCGCGAUUGAAUGAGCCGAUGUCGGAUUAGCUAGUUGGCGGGGUAAAGGCCCACCAAGGCGACGAUCCGUAGCUGGUCUGAGAGGAUGAUCAGCCAACCUGAACCUGAGACACGUUCCAGGUCCCCACGGGAGGCAGCAGUGGGGAAUUUUGGACAAGGGGGGCAAGCCUGAUCCAGCCAUCCCGGGGGGGUAAAGAAGGCCUUCGGUUUGUAAAGCCCUUUUGUUGGGAAAAAAAAGCAGCAGGUUAACCCCCCGCUGUUCUGACGGUACCCAAAAAAGAAGCCCCGGCUAACUUCGU
Molecule: ribosomal RNA, 491 nt
Filed under: uncultured bacterium
Lineage: Bacteria
Description: partial 16S ribosomal RNA
Rfam family: Bacterial small subunit ribosomal RNA
Source: RNAcentral